AUGUGGAGACUGGGGAGCAGCAGAGUCAACUCAGUUAUCAUCUUGGCGGCCGGGCUGCCGUCCAGCUCACAGAAGCCACCUGAUCCGGAAAAGAUUUCCAACGCCUGCUGGAGUAAGUUUGGCAGCUGUUUCCAUACAGGCAGAGGCCAGUGUCAUCUCCAGCACCUGGGGGACAUAAGAGAAAGAGCCAGUGGCCUUCCUCCAAGACAAUCUCAGUGUCUUCCCACUCACAGAACCAGGCAACAAAGAAGUCUGUGGCGUCCACAGGAGGGAAACAAAGCAAAACGAAGCGCCGACCAGUGCGGUACUAUUAAUUCAAAUUAAUGACCCUCACCUACAAAUAAAGCUGGUGCCUGGCAGGUCGCUGGCUCUUGGAGAGCUGCAAUGAGAACAAACGUGGCUUUGCCGUCUGGCCAGGCAAUCGAUGCCUCCUGCCUGUCCCUGGCCGCCCCGCACCCACCUCUUACAGACGUUACCUGUCUCCUGUUAAUUCUCCCGUGUCACUCUCCACUUCCCCGGUGGGGGUGGGGGGGCGGUCAAGGGUUGGCCUGGAGGGUGGGCUUAUUUCAUAAGAAAGGCCGAUUGAAAGGGCCCAGAUGCAAAGUCACACUGCUCUGCGGAGCUGGGAGGACACCCCACUGAGAGACGUGUCUGAAAUGGGUGGAGGUCUCUAGGCAUCGCUGGCAGGGGCGGGUGCCUGACUGUCAUUUAGGGACAUUUCUGCCUUGAUCUGUCGCUCUUAUUUAUCUCUGCCAAAAUAAAGAUGUGUUUGAUGAUAAAGACUUCUUUUAUUCAGCCUCUCAGUUACUCCAGCACGGUAGUUAGAGAUGAAUACAAUGUUGCCCUUAAGCUACAACCUAAUCUUCACAGAAACCCUUUGAAGAAGGUAAGUUUAGUUUUACUUUAAGACUGG
RNAcentral lists this long non-coding RNA (913 nucleotides) under Pan troglodytes (chimpanzee). RNAcentral describes it as "lncRNA (ENSPTRG00000054664.1)". Lineage: Eukaryota; Metazoa; Chordata; Mammalia; Primates; Hominidae. The record is from RNAcentral.